Eriocheir sinensis (Chinese mitten crab) is the source of this 912-nucleotide long non-coding RNA. RefSeq lists it as uncharacterized. NCBI's taxonomy places the organism in Eukaryota, Metazoa, Arthropoda, Malacostraca, Decapoda, Varunidae. The record is from RefSeq and is a predicted model, not a curated record. The transcript has 3 exons.
UACACGUGUGCGUUUGUGUGUACGUGUUCAAGUGUAUAUAUAAGAAGGCGGGGUGUGGAGUUUUCAGAUCAGUCUUCGAAUCCUCAGCUCAACCAAAACACGAUGCGCGCCACAACCAUCCUCCUCAUGGUCCUGCUGGUGGUCGGGGUCGCCUUGGCCGCACCAGGCAAGGGUAAGGGCGGUUACGGUGGCGGCUACGGAGGGCGUAUCCACCAUAUCUACGUGCCCGUCCCGCAUUACUACCCCGUCUACCAUCAUAGCUAUGGCGGCUAUGGUGGCGGCCAUGGUGGAGGCUAUGGUGGCGGCUAUGGUGGUGGAUAUGGGGGCGGCUAUGGUGGUGGAUAUGGGGGCGGCCAUGGCAUCAGCUACGGCGGCUAUGGUGGUGGCUAUGGUGGUGGCUAUGGCGGUGGCUACGGUGGUGGCUAUUGGUAAGACGUGAGAGAGCGGCGCCCCUUCACCUCUUCACCUCGUUCACCCCCCCCUCCCCUCACCAGUACCUCGCCCCCCUUCACCCCCCUUCCCCGACACGCCCCCUUCCCGACCCCUUUCCUCGCCCCUUCACUGCCCCCUUUACUGUCUCUCUUUGUUUCCCUUCCUUUAUUCCCUUUCUCCAUUCCCUUCAUUAUCCUUCUCUCCUCCUUUCACUUUUCCAUUUUUUUCCUAUUUCCUUUUAUUAAUUUUUCUGUUUUCGUAUCUUUCCUUUUUUCUCUUUCUUAUUUCUCUUUUCUUCCUCUUCCUAUCUUCCCUUCCCUUUAUCCCUUUUACCAUCCUCUUUCUUAUUAUUUUUUCCUUUUCUCCUUUCUUUCCUUCCUCCCUCUCAUCAUCCUCUUCCUCAUUCCCUAUUUCUUCCUUUUUUCCUCCCUCCCUCUCAUCAUCUUAUGUUUUAAGUUUACAAUAAAGACCAAAAAACAC